Molecule: ribosomal RNA, 402 nt
Filed under: uncultured bacterium
Lineage: Bacteria
Description: bacterial SSU rRNA
Rfam family: Bacterial small subunit ribosomal RNA
Source: RNAcentral
GAGUUUGAUCAUGGCUCAGAGUGAAGGCUAUAAGUCUGCUUGAAUACAUGCGAGUUGAAUGGUUAAAACCAUAGCGUACGGGUGAGUAAUAGGCUAAUAUCUGGCUUCAACUUCGGAAUAAUCCUAUCCCCCAGGGGAGAAGGCAACAGGAGAAUACCGGAUAAAUAUAUAAAGGUCCGCCGGUUGAAGAUGAUUAGGUUCAGUAUUAGGUAGUUGGUGAGGUAAAGCUUACCAAGCCAAUGAUGCUUAGUUGGUCUGAUAGGACGAUCAAUCACACUGGGACUGAGACAAGGCCCAGGUUUCAUUUGAAGGCAGCAGUAAGGAAUAUUGGACAAUGAGCGAAAGCUUGAUCCAGCAAGGCUUGGUGAGGGAUUGAAGGCUUAGGUUGUAAACCUCUUUUUU